Molecule: ribosomal RNA, 466 nt
Filed under: uncultured bacterium
Lineage: Bacteria
Description: partial 16S ribosomal RNA
Rfam family: Bacterial small subunit ribosomal RNA
Source: RNAcentral
GAUGAACGCUGGCGGCGUGCUUAACACAUGCAAGUCGAACGGAAAGGCCCAAGCUUGCUUGGGUGCUCGAGUGGCGAACGGGUGAGUAACACGUGGGUGAUCUGCCCUGCACUUUGGGAUAAGCCUGGGAAACUGGGUCUAAUACCGGAUAGGACCAUCGUUUAGUGUCGGUGGUGGAAAGUUUUUCGGUGUGGGAUGAGCUCGCGGCCUAUCAGCUUGUUGGUGGGGUAAUGGCCUACCAAGGCGUCGACGGGUAGCCGGCCUGAGAGGGUGUACGGCCACAUUGGGACUGAGAUACGGCCCAGACUCCUACGGGAGGCAGCAGUGGGGAAUAUUGCACAAGGGGCGCAAGCCUGAUGCAGCGACGCCGCGGGGGGGAUGACGGCCUUCGGGUUGUAAACUCCUUUCGCCAAGGACGAAGCGUUUUGUGACGGUACUUGGAGAAGAAGCACCGGCUAACUACGUG